Harpegnathos saltator (Jerdon's jumping ant) is the source of this 1069-nucleotide long non-coding RNA. RefSeq lists it as uncharacterized. The transcript is spliced from 4 exons. The record is from RefSeq and is a predicted model, not a curated record. NCBI's taxonomy places the organism in Eukaryota, Metazoa, Arthropoda, Insecta, Hymenoptera, Formicidae.
UAUUAAACUGAGCUUAUUUAUAUUAAAAAUUUGCAACUUGUAUUUAAAGACAUUUAAUGGGUCAACAAAUAAUGAGUAAUAGCUGUUUGACAGACUGAUAAAUUUAUGCGUAAACAUCCGGGACUACAUAGUGGAAAGUUUUCUGUAACGUUUACUUUUAAACAUGCUCAAAAAUUAUGGGAAAAAGUAACAGCAGAAUUACAUGAGAUACCUGGUGCACAAAAAGAGUGGAAACAAUGACGAAAGACUUGGCAAGACAUGCGAAGUUCCAUUAAAGCCAAAAAUAUUUUGAUCAAGAAUCAUGCAAAAGCAACUGGUGGAGGGCCUGCGUCAAGUCAGGUUUUAACCGAAAUGGAUCAAAAUGUCCUGGCAAUUAUGGGUACAACAGUUGUGGGAGGACAUAAGACAGUGCAAGAAUCCAACGUGCAAAUUAAAGUAUGCGUGUACAUUGAUAUUUUUUGCAAGAGUGGAUAGAUGAUUCAAUUGUAUGUGAAAUCGAUGUUGAUGAAAAUAGGGACAAUUUUCCCAUAAAAUACAAAAGUCAAGAAAUAACGUAGCAAUCUGUGUCACAACAGUCAUUAUCUUCUCAAGAUUAUUACAGUAUAUUGGAAGAAAACUCACCAGAAGAAAACUUAAACAAUGAUAAUGACAAUAACAAUAGGAAAUCUUUAAAAAAAAUGGAAACAACCACUAGAAACACCAAUUAGUGUAGUCAACAACAUAUCAGAUAUUUCUGUAACACCAGCUUCAAAAUCGAGUGGCAUACAAAGAGGUGUUAAAAGAAUUUCUGCUGCACAAAGAUAUGAUAAAUCAAUUGAACAAACUGAAAAGUUAGCGAAAAUUUCGCAGGAAGAUAGCGAGAUACGAAAAUCAUAUUACGCAUAGAAAUUAAAACUUUAUAAGAAGAAAAUAGCUCUGAAAGAAAAAGAUAUCAAUAUCAAAGAAAAUAUAUGCACAUUGCUGGAGCAAUUAGUAAAAAAAAGCAAUUAAAGAGUUACAGAUAUAAGAUAUAGGCUGUGAAAAUGACAUUAGUGUAUUCACAAAGAAAUAAAUGUUCCUAUAAGCUGUU